This 249-nucleotide ribosomal RNA is filed under the name uncultured Peptostreptococcus sp. RNAcentral's name for it is "partial 16S ribosomal RNA". It matches the Rfam family "Bacterial small subunit ribosomal RNA", at positions 107 to 354 of the family's 1533-position model. Lineage: Bacteria; Bacillati; Bacillota; Clostridia; Peptostreptococcales; Peptostreptococcaceae. The record is from RNAcentral.
GGAGUAACGCGUGGGUAACCUGCCCUAUACACAUGGAUAACAUACUGAAAAGUUUACUAAUACAUGAUAAUAUAUAUUUACGGCAUCGUAGAUAUAUCAAAGUGUUAGCGGUAUAGGAUGGACCCGCGUCUGAUUAGCUAGUUGGUGAGAUAACUGCCCACCAAGGCGACGAUCAGUAGCCGACCUGAGAGGGUGAUCGGCCACAUUGGAACUGAGACACGGUCCAAACUCCUACGGGAGGCAGCAGGA